This 72-nucleotide transfer RNA is filed under the name Ornithorhynchus anatinus (platypus). It matches the Rfam family "tRNA". From Rfam's summary of the family: Transfer RNA (tRNA) molecules are approximately 80 nucleotides in length. Their secondary structure includes four short double-helical elements and three loops (D, anti-codon, and T loops). Further hydrogen bonds mediate the characteristic L-shaped molecular structure. tRNAs have two regions of fundamental functional importance: the anti-codon, which is responsible for specific mRNA codon recognition, and the 3' end, to which the tRNAs corresponding amino acid is attached (by aminoacyl-tRNA synthetases). tRNAs cope with the degeneracy of the genetic code in two manners: having more than one tRNA (with a specific anti-codon) for a particular amino acid; and 'wobble' base-pairing, i.e. permitting non-standard base-pairing at the 3rd anti-codon position. Lineage: Eukaryota; Metazoa; Chordata; Mammalia; Monotremata; Ornithorhynchidae. The record is from Rfam by way of RNAcentral.
UCCCUGGUGGUCUAGCGUUUAGGAUUCGGCACUCUCAGAACUGUCGCCUGGGUUCGAUUCCCGGUCAGGGAA